Molecule: ribosomal RNA, 494 nt
Filed under: uncultured bacterium
Lineage: Bacteria
Description: partial 16S ribosomal RNA
Rfam family: Bacterial small subunit ribosomal RNA
Source: RNAcentral
GACGAACGCUGGCGGCGUGCUUAACACAUGCAAGUCGAGCGGAAAUUCCUGCUUUCCCUUGUGGAUGGCGGGUACUCGAGUGGCGAACGGCUUAGGAACACGUGAGUGAUCUGCCCCCAACGUGUGAAUAAGCCUGGGAAACUGGGGCUAAUUCCCGAUAGGACGGCAGUGUGGUGCCUGUGGUGGAAAACGAUUUUCUAGUGGUGGGGGAUGAGCUCGCGGCCUAUAAGCUGGUUGGUGGGGUAAUGGCCUACCAAGGCGGUGACGGGUAGCCGGCGUGAGGAGCUGUAGGGGGACAUUGAGAAUGAGCUACGACCCAGAGUCCUACGGGCGGCAGCAGUGGCGACUAGUGGACAAUGGGCGGAAGACUGAUGAAGCGACGCAGGGUGGGGGAUGACGGGCCUCGGGUUGUAAAAUCCUUUCGACGGCGAGGAACCCACCUGGUUGGGAGGGUGGUGACGGUAGUGGUAGAAGAAGCACCGGCUAACUACGUG